RNAcentral lists this microRNA precursor (11840 nucleotides) under Cloning vector pGL130_TRE_OL_mCitrine-Cassette_mScarlet-i(FF4). The record is from RNAcentral.
GUCUUCUCCAUCGGAUCCUGAUCAGGGGAGCUCACGGGGACAGCCCCCCCCCAAAGCCCCCAGGGAUGUAAUUACGUCCCUCCCCCGCUAGGGGGCAGCAGCGACCGCCCGGGGCUCCGCUCCGGUCCGGCGCUCCCCCCGCAUCCCGAGCCGGCAGCGUGCGGGGACAGCCCGGGCACGGGGAAGGUGGCACGGGAUCGCUUUCCUCUGAACGCUUCUCGCUGCUCUUUGAGCCUGCAGACACCUGGGGGAUACGGGGAAAACCGCGGCAUAUGGCCUCGACUGUGCCUUCUAGUUGCCAGCCAUCUGUUGUUUGCCCCUCCCCCGUGCCUUCCUUGACCCUGGAAGGUGCCACUCCCACUGUCCUUUCCUAAUAAAAUGAGGAAAUUGCAUCGCAUUGUCUGAGUAGGUGUCAUUCUAUUCUGGGGGGUGGGGUGGGGCAGGACAGCAAGGGGGAGGAUUGGGAAGACAAUAGCAGGCAUGCUGGGGAUGCGGUGGGCUCUAUGGCUUCUGAGGGCUAGCGCUCCGGUGCCCGUCAGUGGGCAGAGCGCACAUCGCCCACAGUCCCCGAGAAGUUGGGGGGAGGGGUCGGCAAUUGAACCGGUGCCUAGAGAAGGUGGCGCGGGGUAAACUGGGAAAGUGAUGUCGUGUACUGGCUCCGCCUUUUUCCCGAGGGUGGGGGAGAACCGUAUAUAAGUGCAGUAGUCGCCGUGAACGUUCUUUUUCGCAACGGGUUUGCCGCCAGAACACAGGUAAGUGCCGUGUGUGGUUCCCGCGGGCCUGGCCUCUUUACGGGUUAUGGCCCUUGCGUGCCUUGAAUUACUUCCACGCCCCUGGCUGCAGUACGUGAUUCUUGAUCCCGAGCUUCGGGUUGGAAGUGGGUGGGAGAGUUCGAGGCCUUGCGCUUAAGGAGCCCCUUCGCCUCGUGCUUGAGUUGAGGCCUGGCCUGGGCGCUGGGGCCGCCGCGUGCGAAUCUGGUGGCACCUUCGCGCCUGUCUCGCUGCUUUCGAUAAGUCUCUAGCCAUUUAAAAUUUUUGAUGACCUGCUGCGACGCUUUUUUUCUGGCAAGAUAGUCUUGUAAAUGCGGGCCAAGAUCUGCACACUGGUAUUUCGGUUUUUGGGGCCGCGGGCGGCGACGGGGCCCGUGCGUCCCAGCGCACAUGUUCGGCGAGGCGGGGCCUGCGAGCGCGGCCACCGAGAAUCGGACGGGGGUAGUCUCAAGCUGGCCGGCCUGCUCUGGUGCCUGGCCUCGCGCCGCCGUGUAUCGCCCCGCCCUGGGCGGCAAGGCUGGCCCGGUCGGCACCAGUUGCGUGAGCGGAAAGAUGGCCGCUUCCCGGCCCUGCUGCAGGGAGCUCAAAAUGGAGGACGCGGCGCUCGGGAGAGCGGGCGGGUGAGUCACCCACACAAAGGAAAAGGGCCUUUCCGUCCUCAGCCGUCGCUUCAUGUGACUCCACGGAGUACCGGGCGCCGUCCAGGCACCUCGAUUAGUUCUCGAGCUUUUGGAGUACGUCGUCUUUAGGUUGGGGGGAGGGGUUUUAUGCGAUGGAGUUUCCCCACACUGAGUGGGUGGAGACUGAAGUUAGGCCAGCUUGGCACUUGAUGUAAUUCUCCUUGGAAUUUGCCCUUUUUGAGUUUGGAUCUUGGUUCAUUCUCAAGCCUCAGACAGUGGUUCAAAGUUUUUUUCUUCCAUUUCAGGUGUCGUGACAUAAACUGCCCUAGACCACCAUGGUGAGCAAGGGCGAGGAGCUGUUCACCGGGGUGGUGCCCAUCCUGGUCGAGCUGGACGGCGACGUAAACGGCCACAAGUUCAGCGUGUCCGGCGAGGGCGAGGGCGAUGCCACCUACGGCAAGCUGACCCUGAAGUUCAUCUGCACCACCGGCAAGCUGCCCGUGCCCUGGCCCACCCUCGUGACCACCUUCGGCUACGGCCUGAUGUGCUUCGCCCGCUACCCCGACCACAUGAAGCAGCACGACUUCUUCAAGUCCGCCAUGCCCGAAGGCUACGUCCAGGAGCGCACCAUCUUCUUCAAGGACGACGGCAACUACAAGACCCGCGCCGAGGUGAAGUUCGAGGGCGACACCCUGGUGAACCGCAUCGAGCUGAAGGGCAUCGACUUCAAGGAGGACGGCAACAUCCUGGGGCACAAGCUGGAGUACAACUACAACAGCCACAACGUCUAUAUCAUGGCCGACAAGCAGAAGAACGGCAUCAAGGUGAACUUCAAGAUCCGCCACAACAUCGAGGACGGCAGCGUGCAGCUCGCCGACCACUACCAGCAGAACACCCCCAUCGGCGACGGCCCCGUGCUGCUGCCCGACAACCACUACCUGAGCUACCAGUCCAAGCUGAGCAAAGACCCCAACGAGAAGCGCGAUCACAUGGUCCUGCUGGAGUUCGUGACCGCCGCCGGGAUCACUCUCGGCAUGGACGAGCUGUACAAGUAGUAAUCUAGAGGGCCCUAUUCUAUAGUGUCACCUAAAUGCUAGAGCUCGCUGAUCAGUCCGUCGACGGAUCCACCGGAUCUAGAUAACUGAUCAUAAUCAGCCAUACCACAUUUGUAGAGGUUUUACUUGCUUUAAAAAACCUCCCACACCUCCCCCUGAACCUGAAACAUAAAAUGAAUGCAAUUGUUGUUGUUAACUUGUUUAUUGCAGCUUAUAAUGGUUACAAAUAAAGCAAUAGCAUCACAAAUUUCACAAAUAAAGCAUUUUUUUCACUGCAUUCUAGUUGUGGUUUGUCCAAACUCAUCAAUGUAUCUUAACGCGUAAAUUGUAAGCGUUAAUAUUUUGUUAAAAUUCGCGUUAAAUUUUUGUUAAAUCAGCUCAUUUUUUAACCAAUAGGCCGGCUGUCUGUUCAGUUAUGAAGAUGCCGCAUAGUUAAGCCAGUAUCUGCUCCCUGGUCUUCUCCAUCGGAUCCUGAUCAGGGGAGCUCACGGGGACAGCCCCCCCCCAAAGCCCCCAGGGAUGUAAUUACGUCCCUCCCCCGCUAGGGGGCAGCAGCGACCGCCCGGGGCUCCGCUCCGGUCCGGCGCUCCCCCCGCAUCCCGAGCCGGCAGCGUGCGGGGACAGCCCGGGCACGGGGAAGGUGGCACGGGAUCGCUUUCCUCUGAACGCUUCUCGCUGCUCUUUGAGCCUGCAGACACCUGGGGGAUACGGGGAAAACCGCGGCAUAUGGCCUCGACUGUGCCUUCUAGUUGCCAGCCAUCUGUUGUUUGCCCCUCCCCCGUGCCUUCCUUGACCCUGGAAGGUGCCACUCCCACUGUCCUUUCCUAAUAAAAUGAGGAAAUUGCAUCGCAUUGUCUGAGUAGGUGUCAUUCUAUUCUGGGGGGUGGGGUGGGGCAGGACAGCAAGGGGGAGGAUUGGGAAGACAAUAGCAGGCAUGCUGGGGAUGCGGUGGGCUCUAUGGCUUCUGAGGGCUAGCAUCGAUGAAACGCGCGAGACGAAAGAUUGGUGUGGAAAGUCCCCAGGCUCCCCAGCAGGCAGAAGUAUGCAAAGCAUGCAUCUCAAUUAGUCAGCAACCAGGUGUGGAAAGUCCCCAGGCUCCCCAGCAGGCAGAAGUAUGCAAAGCAUGCAUCUCAAUUAGUCAGCAACCAUAGUCCCGCCCCUAACUCCGCCCAUCCCGCCCCUAACUCCGCCCAGUUCCGCCCAUUCUCCGCCCCAUGGCUGACUAAUUUUUUUUAUUUAUGCAGAGGCCGAGGCCGCCUCGGCCUCUGAGCUAUUCCAGAAGUAGUGAGGAGGCUUUUUUGGAGGCCUAGGCUUUUGCAAAUUAAUUAAGCCACCAUGUCUAGACUGGACAAGAGCAAAGUCAUAAACUCUGCUCUGGAAUUACUCAAUGAAGUCGGUAUCGAAGGCCUGACGACAAGGAAACUCGCUCAAAAGCUGGGAGUUGAGCAGCCUACCCUGUACUGGCACGUGAAGAACAAGCGGGCCCUGCUCGAUGCCCUGGCAAUCGAGAUGCUGGACAGGCAUCAUACCCACUUCUGCCCCCUGGAAGGCGAGUCAUGGCAAGACUUUCUGCGGAACAACGCCAAGUCAUUCCGCUGUGCUCUCCUCUCACAUCGCGACGGGGCUAAAGUGCAUCUCGGCACCCGCCCAACAGAGAAACAGUACGAAACCCUGGAAAAUCAGCUCGCGUUCCUGUGUCAGCAAGGCUUCUCCCUGGAGAACGCACUGUACGCUCUGUCCGCCGUGGGCCACUUUACACUGGGCUGCGUAUUGGAGGAUCAGGAGCAUCAAGUAGCAAAAGAGGAAAGAGAGACACCUACCACCGAUUCUAUGCCCCCACUUCUGAGACAAGCAAUUGAGCUGUUCGACCAUCAGGGAGCCGAACCUGCCUUCCUUUUCGGCCUGGAACUAAUCAUAUGUGGCCUGGAGAAACAGCUAAAGUGCGAAAGCGGCGGGCCGGCCGACGCCCUUGACGAUUUUGACUUAGACAUGCUCCCAGCCGAUGCCCUUGACGACUUUGACCUUGAUAUGCUGCCUGCUGACGCUCUUGACGAUUUUGACCUUGACAUGCUCCCCGGGGGUACCAUGGUGAGCAAGGGCGAGGAGCUGUUCACCGGGGUGGUGCCCAUCCUGGUCGAGCUGGACGGCGACGUAAACGGCCACAAGUUCAGCGUGUCCGGCGAGGGCGAGGGCGAUGCCACCUACGGCAAGCUGACCCUGAAGUUCAUCUGCACCACCGGCAAGCUGCCCGUGCCCUGGCCCACCCUCGUGACCACCCUGACCUGGGGCGUGCAGUGCUUCGCCCGCUACCCCGACCACAUGAAGCAGCACGACUUCUUCAAGUCCGCCAUGCCCGAAGGCUACGUCCAGGAGCGCACCAUCUUCUUCAAGGACGACGGCAACUACAAGACCCGCGCCGAGGUGAAGUUCGAGGGCGACACCCUGGUGAACCGCAUCGAGCUGAAGGGCAUCGACUUCAAGGAGGACGGCAACAUCCUGGGGCACAAGCUGGAGUACAACGCCAUCAGCGACAACGUCUAUAUCACCGCCGACAAGCAGAAGAACGGCAUCAAGGCCAACUUCAAGAUCCGCCACAACAUCGAGGACGGCAGCGUGCAGCUCGCCGACCACUACCAGCAGAACACCCCCAUCGGCGACGGCCCCGUGCUGCUGCCCGACAACCACUACCUGAGCACCCAGUCCAAGCUGAGCAAAGACCCCAACGAGAAGCGCGAUCACAUGGUCCUGCUGGAGUUCGUGACCGCCGCCGGGAUCACUCUCGGCAUGGACGAGCUGUACAAGUAAUGACUCCGGAAAGCACUCUGAUUUGACAAUUAAAGCACUCUGAUUUGACAAUUAAAGCACUCUGAUUUGACAAUUAACUAGUAUGUACAAGUAGUAAUCUAGAGGGCCCUAUUCUAUAGUGUCACCUAAAUGCUAGAGCUCGCUGAUCAGUCCAUAGUCGACGGAUCCACCGGAUCUAGAUAACUGAUCAUAAUCAGCCAUACCACAUUUGUAGAGGUUUUACUUGCUUUAAAAAACCUCCCACACCUCCCCCUGAACCUGAAACAUAAAAUGAAUGCAAUUGUUGUUGUUAACUUGUUUAUUGCAGCUUAUAAUGGUUACAAAUAAAGCAAUAGCAUCACAAAUUUCACAAAUAAAGCAUUUUUUUCACUGCAUUCUAGUUGUGGUUUGUCCAAACUCAUCAAUGUAUCUUAACGCGUAAAUUGUAAGCGUUAAUAUUUUGUUAAAAUUCGCGUUAAAUUUUUGUUAAAUCAGCUCAUUUUUUAACCAAUAGGCCGGUAAGUCAAUGAUAGCACUCGAUGCCGCAUAGUUAAGCCAGUAUCUGCUCCCUGGUCUUCUCCAUCGGAUCCUGAUCAGGGGAGCUCACGGGGACAGCCCCCCCCCAAAGCCCCCAGGGAUGUAAUUACGUCCCUCCCCCGCUAGGGGGCAGCAGCGACCGCCCGGGGCUCCGCUCCGGUCCGGCGCUCCCCCCGCAUCCCGAGCCGGCAGCGUGCGGGGACAGCCCGGGCACGGGGAAGGUGGCACGGGAUCGCUUUCCUCUGAACGCUUCUCGCUGCUCUUUGAGCCUGCAGACACCUGGGGGAUACGGGGAAAACCGCGGCAUAUGGCCUCGACUGUGCCUUCUAGUUGCCAGCCAUCUGUUGUUUGCCCCUCCCCCGUGCCUUCCUUGACCCUGGAAGGUGCCACUCCCACUGUCCUUUCCUAAUAAAAUGAGGAAAUUGCAUCGCAUUGUCUGAGUAGGUGUCAUUCUAUUCUGGGGGGUGGGGUGGGGCAGGACAGCAAGGGGGAGGAUUGGGAAGACAAUAGCAGGCAUGCUGGGGAUGCGGUGGGCUCUAUGGCUUCUGAGGGCUAGCGAUAUCCCGUACACGCCACCUCGACAUACUCGAGUUUACUCCCUAUCAGUGAUAGAGAACGUAUGUCGAGUUUACUCCCUAUCAGUGAUAGAGAACGAUGUCGAGUUUACUCCCUAUCAGUGAUAGAGAACGUAUGUCGAGUUUACUCCCUAUCAGUGAUAGAGAACGUAUGUCGAGUUUACUCCCUAUCAGUGAUAGAGAACGUAUGUCGAGUUUAUCCCUAUCAGUGAUAGAGAACGUAUGUCGAGUUUACUCCCUAUCAGUGAUAGAGAACGUAUGUCGAGGUAGGCGUGUACGGUGGGAGGCCUAUAUAAGCAGAGCUCGUUUAGUGAACCGUCAGAUCGCCUGGAGAUUUCGAGCUCGGUGCGGCCGCGCCACCAUGGUGAGCAAGGGCGAGGCAGUGAUCAAGGAGUUCAUGCGGUUCAAGGUGCACAUGGAGGGCUCCAUGAACGGCCACGAGUUCGAGAUCGAGGGCGAGGGCGAGGUGAGUAUGUGCUCGCUUCGGCAGCACAUAUACUAUGUCGAAUGAGGCUUCAGUACUUUACAGAAUCGUUGCCUGCACAUCUUGGAAACACUUGCUGGGAUUACUUCUUCAGGUUAACCCAACAGAAGGUACGUAUGCUGUUGACAGUGAGCGCCGCUUGAAGUUUUUAAUUAAAUAGUGAAGCCACAGAUGUAUUUAAUUAAAGACUUCAAGCGGUGCCUACUGCCUCGGAGAAUUCAAGGGGCUACUUUAGGAGCAAUUAUCUUGUUUACUAAAACUGAAUACCUUGCUAUCUCUUUGAUACAUUUUUACAAAGCUGAAUUAAAAUGGUAUAAAUUAAAUCACUUUUUUCAAUUGUUUCCUUUUUUUUCCUCAGGGCCGCCCCUACGAGGGCACCCAGACCGCCAAGCUGAAGGUGACCAAGGGUGGCCCCCUGCCCUUCUCCUGGGACAUCCUGUCCCCUCAGUUCAUGUACGGCUCCAGGGCCUUCAUCAAGCACCCCGCCGACAUCCCCGACUACUAUAAGCAGUCCUUCCCCGAGGGCUUCAAGUGGGAGCGCGUGAUGAACUUCGAGGACGGCGGCGCCGUGACCGUGACCCAGGACACCUCCCUGGAGGACGGCACCCUGAUCUACAAGGUGAAGCUCCGCGGCACCAACUUCCCUCCUGACGGCCCCGUAAUGCAGAAGAAGACAAUGGGCUGGGAAGCGUCCACCGAGCGGUUGUACCCCGAGGACGGCGUGCUGAAGGGCGACAUUAAGAUGGCCCUGCGCCUGAAGGACGGCGGCCGCUACCUGGCGGACUUCAAGACCACCUACAAGGCCAAGAAGCCCGUGCAGAUGCCCGGCGCCUACAACGUCGACCGCAAGUUGGACAUCACCUCCCACAACGAGGACUACACCGUGGUGGAACAGUACGAACGCUCCGAGGGCCGCCACUCCACCGGCGGCAUGGACGAGCUGUACAAGUAACAUGCUUCGAAAAGCACUCUGAUUUGACAAUUAAAGCACUCUGAUUUGACAAUUAAAGCACUCUGAUUUGACAAUUAGGCGCGCCUGUACAAGUAGUAAUCUAGAGGGCCCUAUUCUAUAGUGUCACCUAAAUGCUAGAGCUCGCUGAUCAGUCCAUAGUCGACGGAUCCACCGGAUCUAGAUAACUGAUCAUAAUCAGCCAUACCACAUUUGUAGAGGUUUUACUUGCUUUAAAAAACCUCCCACACCUCCCCCUGAACCUGAAACAUAAAAUGAAUGCAAUUGUUGUUGUUAACUUGUUUAUUGCAGCUUAUAAUGGUUACAAAUAAAGCAAUAGCAUCACAAAUUUCACAAAUAAAGCAUUUUUUUCACUGCAUUCUAGUUGUGGUUUGUCCAAACUCAUCAAUGUAUCUUAACGCGUAAAUUGUAAGCGUUAAUAUUUUGUUAAAAUUCGCGUUAAAUUUUUGUUAAAUCAGCUCAUUUUUUAACCAAUAGGCCGAAAUCGGGGAGCUCACGGGGACAGCCCCCCCCCAAAGCCCCCAGGGAUGUAAUUACGUCCCUCCCCCGCUAGGGGGCAGCAGCGACCGCCCGGGGCUCCGCUCCGGUCCGGCGCUCCCCCCGCAUCCCGAGCCGGCAGCGUGCGGGGACAGCCCGGGCACGGGGAAGGUGGCACGGGAUCGCUUUCCUCUGAACGCUUCUCGCUGCUCUUUGAGCCUGCAGACACCUGGGGGAUACGGGGAAAAUGAUCAAGAUCUUCUACACUGGGACGCAAGGAUUAUCCUCGAGGCGCGCGAAGAAUCAGGGGAUAACGCAGUGUGAGCAAAAGGCCAGCAAAAGGCCAGGAACCGUAAAAAGGCCGCGUUGCUGGCGUUUUUCCAUAGGCUCCGCCCCCCUGACGAGCAUCACAAAAAUCGACGCUCAAGUCAGAGGUGGCGAAACCCGACAGGACUAUAAAGAUACCAGGCGUUUCCCCCUGGAAGCUCCCUCGUGCGCUCUCCUGUUCCGACCCUGCCGCUUACCGGAUACCUGUCCGCCUUUCUCCCUUCGGGAAGCGUGGCGCUUUCUCAUAGCUCACGCUGUAGGUAUCUCAGUUCGGUGUAGGUCGUUCGCUCCAAGCUGGGCUGUGUGCACGAACCCCCCGUUCAGCCCGACCGCUGCGCCUUAUCCGGUAACUAUCGUCUUGAGUCCAACCCGGUAAGACACGACUUAUCGCCACUGGCAGCAGCCACUGGUAACAGGAUUAGCAGAGCGAGGUAUGUAGGCGGUGCUACAGAGUUCUUGAAGUGGUGGCCUAACUACGGCUACACUAGAAGAACAGUAUUUGGUAUCUGCGCUCUGCUGAAGCCAGUUACCUUCGGAAAAAGAGUUGGUAGCUCUUGAUCCGGCAAACAAACCACCGCUGGUAGCGGUGGUUUUUUUGUUUGCAAGCAGCAGAUUACGCGCAGAAAAAAAGGAUCUCAAGAAGAUCCUUUGAUCUUUUCUACGGGGUCUGACGCUCAGUGGAACGAAAACUCACGUUAAGGGAUUUUGGUCAUGAGAUUAUCAAAAAGGAUCUUCACCUAGAUCCUUUUAAAUUAAAAAUGAAGUUUUAAAUCAAUCUAAAGUAUAUAUGAGUAAACUUGGUCUGACAGUUACCAAUGCUUAAUCAGUGAGGCACCUAUCUCAGCGAUCUGUCUAUUUCGUUCAUCCAUAGUUGCCUGACUCCCCGUCGUGUAGAUAACUACGAUACGGGAGGGCUUACCAUCUGGCCCCAGUGCUGCAAUGAUACCGCGAGACCCACGCUCACCGGCUCCAGAUUUAUCAGCAAUAAACCAGCCAGCCGGAAGGGCCGAGCGCAGAAGUGGUCCUGCAACUUUAUCCGCCUCCAUCCAGUCUAUUAAUUGUUGCCGGGAAGCUAGAGUAAGUAGUUCGCCAGUUAAUAGUUUGCGCAACGUUGUUGCCAUUGCUACAGGCAUCGUGGUGUCACGCUCGUCGUUUGGUAUGGCUUCAUUCAGCUCCGGUUCCCAACGAUCAAGGCGAGUUACAUGAUCCCCCAUGUUGUGCAAAAAAGCGGUUAGCUCCUUCGGUCCUCCGAUCGUUGUCAGAAGUAAGUUGGCCGCAGUGUUAUCACUCAUGGUUAUGGCAGCACUGCAUAAUUCUCUUACUGUCAUGCCAUCCGUAAGAUGCUUUUCUGUGACUGGUGAGUACUCAACCAAGUCAUUCUGAGAAUAGUGUAUGCGGCGACCGAGUUGCUCUUGCCCGGCGUCAACACGGGAUAAUACCGCGCCACAUAGCAGAACUUUAAAAGUGCUCAUCAUUGGAAAACGUUCUUCGGGGCGAAAACUCUCAAGGAUCUUACCGCUGUUGAGAUCCAGUUCGAUGUAACCCACUCGUGCACCCAACUGAUCUUCAGCAUCUUUUACUUUCACCAGCGUUUCUGGGUGAGCAAAAACAGGAAGGCAAAAUGCCGCAAAAAAGGGAAUAAGGGCGACACGGAAAUGUUGAAUACUCAUACUCUUCCUUUUUCAAUAUUAUUGAAGCAUUUAUCAGGGUUAUUGUCUCAUGAGCGGAUACAUAUUUGAAUGUAUUUAGAAAAAUAAACAAAUAGGGGUUCCGCGCACAUUUCCCCGAAAAGUGCCACCUGGAGGUUUUCACCGUCAUCACCGAAACGCGCGAGACGAAAGAUUGGUGUGGAAAGUCCCCAGGCUCCCCAGCAGGCAGAAGUAUGCAAAGCAUGCAUCUCAAUUAGUCAGCAACCAGGUGUGGAAAGUCCCCAGGCUCCCCAGCAGGCAGAAGUAUGCAAAGCAUGCAUCUCAAUUAGUCAGCAACCAUAGUCCCGCCCCUAACUCCGCCCAUCCCGCCCCUAACUCCGCCCAGUUCCGCCCAUUCUCCGCCCCAUGGCUGACUAAUUUUUUUUAUUUAUGCAGAGGCCGAGGCCGCCUCGGCCUCUGAGCUAUUCCAGAAGUAGUGAGGAGGCUUUUUUGGAGGCCUAGGCUUUUGCAAAAAGCUAGCUUGCAUGCCUGCAGGUCGGCCGCCACGACCGGUGCCGCCACCAUCCCCUGACCCACGCCCCUGACCCCUCACAAGGAGACGACCUUCCAUGACCGAGUACAAGCCCACGGUGCGCCUCGCCACCCGCGACGACGUCCCCCGGGCCGUACGCACCCUCGCCGCCGCGUUCGCCGACUACCCCGCCACGCGCCACACCGUCGACCCGGACCGCCACAUCGAGCGGGUCACCGAGCUGCAAGAACUCUUCCUCACGCGCGUCGGGCUCGACAUCGGCAAGGUGUGGGUCGCGGACGACGGCGCCGCGGUGGCGGUCUGGACCACGCCGGAGAGCGUCGAAGCGGGGGCGGUGUUCGCCGAGAUCGGCCCGCGCAUGGCCGAGUUGAGCGGUUCCCGGCUGGCCGCGCAGCAACAGAUGGAAGGCCUCCUGGCGCCGCACCGGCCCAAGGAGCCCGCGUGGUUCCUGGCCACCGUCGGCGUCUCGCCCGACCACCAGGGCAAGGGUCUGGGCAGCGCCGUCGUGCUCCCCGGAGUGGAGGCGGCCGAGCGCGCCGGGGUGCCCGCCUUCCUGGAGACCUCCGCGCCCCGCAACCUCCCCUUCUACGAGCGGCUCGGCUUCACCGUCACCGCCGACGUCGAGGUGCCCGAAGGACCGCGCACCUGGUGCAUGACCCGCAAGCCCGGUGCCUGACGCCCGCCCCACGACCCGCAGCGCCCGACCGAAAGGAGCGCACGACCCCAUGGCUCCGACCGAAGCCACCCGGGGCGGCCCCGCCGACCCCGCACCCGCCCCCGAGGCCCACCGACUCUAGAGGAUCAUAAUCAGCCAUACCACAUUUGUAGAGGUUUUACUUGCUUUAAAAAACCUCCCACACCUCCCCCUGAACCUGAAACAUAAAAUGAAUGCAAUUGUUGUUGUUAACUUGUUUAUUGCAGCUUAUAAUGGUUACAAAUAAAGCAAUAGCAUCACAAAUUUCACAAAUAAAGCAUUUUUUUCACUGCAAUCUCGUGAUACGCCUAUUUUUAUAGGUUAAUGUCAUGGAUGCCGCAUAGUUAAGCCAGUAUCUGCUCCCUG